Molecule: non-coding RNA, 411 nt
Organism: Chiloscyllium plagiosum (whitespotted bambooshark)
Lineage: Eukaryota; Metazoa; Chordata; Chondrichthyes; Orectolobiformes; Hemiscylliidae
Source: RefSeq, a predicted model, not a curated record
CCCGGCCAAGAUGGCGGCUGUUCACCUCCGAAAUGCAAACCAUUUACCUUCAAGUUAUUUUUCAAGGUGCUCGCUUCUCUCUGGAAGGGUUUAUUCUCGGUCUGAAUCCCUCUGUCCAGCUCCUGCAGCCUUACCGUCUGGAAAAGCGCGUCUCUUCCCAUUUCCCACGGAGACAAACCCGGCACUGCGGCUGCACCGCCCUCGCCUGUAAGUAGUGGAAUUAAUGAAAACUGAAGCAUUUCUCUGAUGCCAGUUCUGUGCUAACUUCUCAGCUUCAAGCUCCAGCCAGAGAGUUUACAUUGAAGUACAAUGACACUGAUUCAGAGUUAUGGUCAAAUGAGAGCUUCAUCACUGCAGGUCCCUGAGGUAUGUGCUGUUAAUUUAUUCCACUUGUAUGUGUGGCUUCCCUCA